UUUGUAGUUCUACCGGGAGGAAAAGUGGCGAAUCUUCUCGAAGAUAUGACAAUUUAAGCAUCCUACUUCACUGGCUGUGUUAUACAUAGUCAGGGAUUUCGACUCUCAUCUGUUUCGCGCUACCACCCCAACAUGGGGUGGGUUUCGGCCAGAUGAUUGUCUGGAUGGUUAAACUAUCAUAUGUUGGUUUGGCUCUAAUUUAAAUAAAAAGCUCUGAUCAGGAGCUGGCUAGGGAGAUCGGGGACCGAGGUCGAGCCGACCAACUAAACCAAACUCACGGCUGCAUAUCUGACCGGAUAGUGCCGAAGUCUACCCUGGAGGGAGAGUCAUCGGCUGGGACACUUUCUGUCCGGUGGGUGUUUUGGUGACUCGUAUCAGGUGUUCUGCUUUUAAUUAGGUUAUUCAAUUUAAUUGAUUUGGAUUCCAAAAUAGUUUUUAUAUAUUCGUGAAUUACGUUCCAUUUAUCCUGUGUAUCCAGCAUAAUAUUUAUAAUGUUCUAUGGAGUUAUACUAUGGUUAAGUUUACUUUCGAGUUCAGUCCUUUCUGUUUUGAAAGUGUCAUAGCCGAAAAAAGUAUGUUCGGCAGUAUCCUGGGCAGACAGGCAUAUAGGAGGCAUUGCGGGGACGGGGAGAGUUUAACUUUAAAGAGAUAGUGGGCGAAACUUCCAUGACCUGACAAAAAUUGGGUCAGGAAGUAAUCCGUUUCACCACGAGUACGUUGUAUCCAUCUUUGAAGGGUGGGCAUGAGCUUGUGAAGCCAUUUGUCCUGUCCGUUAUCUUUCUGUAUCCAUCUCUCGUUCCAUCUUCGGUUGAUGUUUUCUUCCACUUCUCUGGGGUCUUUCGUUUUACUCAUAAGUCUCAACUUCCUUUUCACUAGCAGAUCGGUUGGCGGGAUGUCCGUAAUGACAUCCAGGCAGUUAUUGCUUACUGUCCUGUACGCACUGCUGAGAUAUUUCUUCACAGGGCGGAUGGUUGAGAGCUACCAACUGGUUACAAUCAUCAAUGUCAUCACUCCUUGAAGAUUGCAAGUUUCAUUGGGUUGGAAUAUAGUUUAGAAUACAGAUACAUUAAUCUACCAAACCAAGAAGAAGAAGAAAAAUAAACAGGAAG
Bemisia tabaci is the source of this 1109-nucleotide non-coding RNA. NCBI's taxonomy places the organism in Eukaryota, Metazoa, Arthropoda, Insecta, Hemiptera, Aleyrodidae. The record is from RefSeq and is a predicted model, not a curated record.